GGGACGAUUCUGGCUCAGAUGAACGCUGGCGGGAUGCUUUACACAUGCAAGUCGAACGGCAGCACGGACUUCGGUCUACGGCGGAAUGCGAGAACGGAUAAAUGUAUCGGAACGUGCCUAGUAGCGGGGGAUAACUACGCGAAAGCGUAGCUAAUACCGCAUACGCCCUUCCCGGGGAAAAGCGGGAGACCUUCGGGCCUCGCACUAUUAGAGCGGCCGAUAUCGGAUUAGCUAGUUGGUGGGGUAACGGCUCACCAAGGCGACGAUCCGUAGCUGGUUUGAGAGGACGACCAGCCACGGCGGGACUGAGACACGGCCCAGACUCCUACGGGAGGCAGCAGUGGGGAAUUUUGGACAAUGGGGAAACCUGAUCCAGCCAUCCCGCGUGUGCGAUGAAGGCCUUCGGGUUGUAAAGAAAACACUUUUGGCGGGAAAGAAACGGCAAGGAUAAUACCCCGUGCAACUGACAGAAACACCUGCAGAAUAAGCACCGGCUAACUACGUGCCAGCAGCCGCGGUAAUACGUAGGGUGCAGCGUUAAUCGGAAUUACUGGGCGUAAAGCGUGCGCAGGCGGUUCCGGAAAGAAAAGAUGUGAAAUCCCAGAGCUUAACUUUUGGAACUGCAUUUUAACUACCGAGCUAGAGUGUGUGUCAGAGGAGGUAGAAUUCCGCAUGUAGCAGUGAAAUGCGUAGAUAUGCGGAAGACACCGAUGGCGAAGGCAGCCUCCUGGGAUAACACUGACGCUCAUGCACGAAAGCGUGAGGCAAACAGGAUUAGAUACCCUGGUAGUCCACGCCCUAAACGAUGUCAACCAGCUGUUGGGGCCUUCGGGCCUUGGUAGCGCAACUAACGCGUGAAGUUGACCGCCUGGGGAGAGCCAAGAUGCGCAAGAUUAAAACUCAAAGGAAUUGACCGGAGCCCGCACAAGCGGUGGAUGAUGUGGAUUAAUUCGAUGCAACGCGAAAAACCUUACCUACCCUUGACAUGUCUGGAAUCCCAGAGAUUUGAGGUGCUCGCAAGAGAACCGGAACACGGUGCUGCAUGGCUGUCGUCAGCUCGUGUCGUGAGAUGUUGGGUUAAGUCCCGCAACGAGCGCAACCCUUGUCAUUAGUUGCUACGGGCACUCUAAUGAGACUGCCGGUGACAAACCGGAGGAAGGUGGGGAUGACGUCAAGUCCUCAUGGCCCUUAUGGGUAGGGCUUCACACGUCAUACAAUGGUCGGGACAGAGGGUCGCCAGCCCGCGAGGGGAGCCAAUCCCAGAAACCCGAUCGUAGUCCGGAUCGCAGUCACAACUCGACUGCGAUCCGGAUGAUCAGGUUUCAUUGGCGCUCCCUGUUCGCCAGCCGCCUGUCCCGGCCAUUAUGACGUGCCCAUAAAAAUUGUGAGGCCGGCAUCUGUGCGGUUUAUCUGUGUGCAAUCUCGUGGAAUUCUCGCUGUAAUAAUGACAAGGGUUAGAAACUCGUUGCCCGGGACUAACAACGACAGCCGGCACACCUGUUCCGGUUGGGUGCUUGCGAACUGUGUCGAAAAACUAAAUCGAUAUAGUGCGUGGCCG
RNAcentral lists this ribosomal RNA (1558 nucleotides) under uncultured Bordetella sp. RNAcentral describes it as "partial 16S-23S ribosomal RNA intergenic spacer". It matches the Rfam family "Bacterial small subunit ribosomal RNA". The record is from RNAcentral. Lineage: Bacteria; Pseudomonadati; Pseudomonadota; Betaproteobacteria; Burkholderiales; Alcaligenaceae.